Molecule: ribosomal RNA, 454 nt
Filed under: uncultured bacterium
Lineage: Bacteria
Description: bacterial SSU rRNA
Rfam family: Bacterial small subunit ribosomal RNA
Source: RNAcentral
GAGUGGACUCCUACGGGAGGCAGCAGUGGGGAAUAUUGGACAAUGGAGGAGACUCUGAUCCAGCAAUUCUGUGUGCACGAAGACGGUUUUCGGAUUGUAAAGUGCUUUCAGCAGGGAAGAAGAAAGUGACGGUACCUGCAGAAGAAGCGACGGCUAAAUACGUGCCAGCAGCCGCGGUAAUACGUAUGUCGCAAGCGUUAUCCGGAAUUAUUGGGCAUAAAGGGCAUCUAGGCGGAUAUACAAGUCAGGGGUGAAAACUUAGGGCUCAACUCAAAGCUUGCCUUUGAAACUGUAUAUCUAGAGUGCUGGAGAGGUGGACGGAACUACACGAGUAGAGGUGAAAUUCGUAGAUAUGUGUAGGAAUGCCGAUGAUGAAGAUAGUCCACUGGACAGCAACUGACGCUGAAGUGCGAAAGCUAGGGGAGCAAACAGGAUUAGAUACCCUUGUAGUCCU